ACCCCUUGUGGAGGAGGACGCCGAAGGUGGGGCUAAUGACUGGGGUGAAGUCGUAACAAGGUAGCCGUACCGGAAGGUGCGGCUGGAUCACCUCCUAACAGGGAGACAACAAAAUGUUUAAUAUUAUUAUUUUGUCACCUUAGGUCGAUCGGUAUCUCACAUUCUUAAAUCAUUAAGAAUUUCAUUUCCUAAGUUUUUCUAGGUCACACCCAUUAUUUUUCCUGGGCCAUUAGCUCAGGUGGUUAGAGCGCACCCCUGAUAAGGGUGAGGUCCCUGGUUCAAGUCCAGGAUGGCCCAUAUCUCUAUGUUGGGGGUAUAGCUCAGUUGGUAGAGCGCCUGCUUUGCAAGCAGGAUGUCAGCGGUUCGAGUCCGCUUACCUCCACUGAUUACCACCUCUUCCAUAAUCUGGAGAAAGGAAAUGUUUUGAGUUGUGAUCAAAUUCUGAACGAAUCUAGCUUCCUAAUGAAAUAAUUAAGAUGCUGGACUCAUUGAAUUAAUUUCAUUGUUUUCAGAGAACCUUGACAACUGCAUAGAUUAUUUUUAAAGACAAUAAGCAUCUUGAAUGAUGCAGAUUUAUUAUUUGUGCGAAUGCAUUAAUAACAAUUCUAUUAAGCUGAUGCUUCAAUUUUGAAGUUAUUGGUCAAGCUACAAAGGGCUCACGGAGGAUACCUAGGCACACAGAGGCGA
RNAcentral lists this unclassified non-coding RNA (687 nucleotides) under uncultured Prochlorococcus sp. RNAcentral's name for it is "partial may contain 16S ribosomal RNA, 16S-23S ribosomal RNA intergenic spacer, and 23S ribosomal RNA". The stretch from base 1 to 98 matches the Rfam family "Bacterial small subunit ribosomal RNA", at positions 1438 to 1533 of the family's 1533-position model. Lineage: Bacteria; Bacillati; Cyanobacteriota; Cyanophyceae; Synechococcales; Prochlorococcaceae. The record is from RNAcentral.